RNAcentral lists this antisense RNA (69 nucleotides) under Actinophytocola xanthii. Its description in RNAcentral is "ASpks TB sRNA". It matches the Rfam family "ASpks TB sRNA". Lineage: Bacteria; Bacillati; Actinomycetota; Actinomycetes; Pseudonocardiales; Pseudonocardiaceae. The record is from Rfam by way of RNAcentral.
CUUCACCGAGCCGAGCAGCAGCGGGGUCGCGCGGUCCCGCCCGUAGGUGGCCAGCACCGCCUGUGCCUC